GACGAGCGCUGGCGGCGUGCUUAACACAUGCAAGUCGAACGAUGAAGUUCCUUCGGGAAUGGAUUAGUGGCGAACGGGUGAGGAACACGUGAGAAACCUGCCUUUCAUUUUGGGAUAACUCCGGGAAACCGGGGCUAAAACCGAAUACUCCGUCUCGGCGGCAUCGCUGAGCCGGGAAAAAAUUUUGAUGAAAGAUGGUCUCGCGGCCUAUCAGCUAGUUGGUGAGGUAAUGGCUCACCAAGGCAACGACGGGUAGCCGGCCUGGGCGGGCGACCGGCCACACUGGGACUGAGACACGGCCCAGACUCCUACGGGAGGCAGCAGUGGGGAAUAUUGGGCAAUGGGCGCAAGCCUGACCCAGCGACGCCGCGUGAGGGAUGAAGGCCUUCGGGUUGUAAACCUCUUUCAGUAGGGAAGAAGCGAAAGUGACGGUACCUAAAGAAGAAGCACCGGCUAACUAUGUGCCAGCAGCCGCCGUAA
This 480-nucleotide ribosomal RNA is filed under the name uncultured bacterium. RNAcentral describes it as "partial 16S ribosomal RNA". It matches the Rfam family "Bacterial small subunit ribosomal RNA", at positions 28 to 523 of the family's 1533-position model. The record is from RNAcentral.